This 460-nucleotide ribosomal RNA is filed under the name uncultured Anoxybacillus sp. RNAcentral's name for it is "bacterial SSU rRNA". It matches the Rfam family "Bacterial small subunit ribosomal RNA", at positions 925 to 1382 of the family's 1533-position model. Lineage: Bacteria; Bacillati; Bacillota; Bacilli; Caryophanales; Anoxybacillaceae. The record is from RNAcentral.
ACAAGCGGUGGAGCAUGUGGUUUAAUUCGACGCAACGCGAAGAACCUUACCCGGGCUUGAACGUGCAGUGGUACCUGCCUGAAAGGGCGUGGGACCCCUUCGGGGGAGCUGUGCGAGGUGCUGCAUGGCUGUCGUCAGCUCGUGCUGUGAGGUGUUGGGUUAAGUCCCGCAACGAGCGCAACCCUCGACCUUAGUUGCCAGCAUUCAGUUGGGCACUCUAAGGUGACUGCCGGCUAAAAGUCGGAGGAAGGUGGGGAUGACGUCAAAUCAUCAUGCCCCUUAUGACCUGGGCUACACACGUGCUACAAUGGGCGGUACAAAGGGUCGCGAACCCGCGAGGGGGAGCCAAUCCCAAAAAGCCGCUCUCAGUUCGGAUUGCAGGCUGCAACUCGCCUGCAUGAAGCCGGAAUCGCUAGUAAUCGCGGAUCAGCAUGCCGCGGUGAAUACGUUCCCGGGCCUU